ACUGAGACACGGCCCAGACUCCUACGGGAGGCAGCAGUAGGGAAUCUUCCACAAUGGGCGCAAGCCUGAUGGAGCAACGCCGCGUGAGUGAGGAAGGCUUUCGGGUCGUAAAGCUCUGUUGCCAGGGAAGAAUAAGGACGUGUUAACUGCACGUUUGAUGACGGUACCUGAGAAGAAAGCCCCGGCUAACUACGUGCCAGCAGCCGCGGUAAUACGUAGGGGGCAAGCGUUGUCCGGAUUUAUUGGGCGUAAAGCGCGCGCAGGCGGUUCUUUAAGUCUGGUGUCUAAGUGCGGGGCUCAACCCCGUGAUGCACUGGAAACUGGGGAACUUGAGUGCAGAAGAGGAGAGCGGAAUUCCACGUGUAGCGGUGAAAUGCGUAGAGAUGUGGAGGAACACCAGUGGCGAAGGCGGCUCUCUGGACUGUAACUGACGCUGAGGCGCGAAAGCGUGGGGAGCAAACAGGAUUAGAUACCCUGGUAGUCCACGCUGUAAACGAUGAGUGCUAGGUGUUGGGGGUAUCAUGCCCUCGGUGCCGAAGUUAACACAUUAAGCACUCCGCCUGGGGAGUACGGUCGCAAGACUG
RNAcentral lists this ribosomal RNA (584 nucleotides) under uncultured bacterium. RNAcentral's name for it is "bacterial SSU rRNA". It matches the Rfam family "Bacterial small subunit ribosomal RNA", at positions 318 to 896 of the family's 1533-position model. The record is from RNAcentral.